GAGUGCGAUCUUACCAGCACUAAUGCAUUGAAUCACAUUAAAAUUUCACAAUCAAGUGUGCUUGGGCGAGAGUAAUAUUAGGAUGAGUAACCUUUUGAACAGUUUUCAUGUCGCACCCU
This 119-nucleotide ribosomal RNA is filed under the name Gossypium hirsutum (cotton). RNAcentral also lists the same sequence under 1 other name. The record is from RNAcentral. Lineage: Eukaryota; Viridiplantae; Streptophyta; Magnoliopsida; Malvales; Malvaceae.